AGGACGAACGCUGGCGGCGUGCCUAACACAUGCAAGUCGAACGAGGUCCAUCCGGUAGCAAUACUGGUGAAGAUCAAGUGGCGAACGGGUGAGUAGCACGUGAGCAACCUGCCCCGAAGACCGGGACAACACCGGGAAACCGGUGCUAAUACCGGAUAUCCCCACCGAGUCGCAUGGCUUGGUGAGGAAAUGGAUUCCGCUUCGGGAGGGGCUCGCGGCCUAUCAGCUUGUUGGUGAGGUAAUGGCUCACCAAGGCUUCGACGGGUAGCUGGUCUGAGAGGACGAUCAGCCACACUGGGACUGAGACACGGCCCAGACUCCUACGGGAGGCAGCAGUGGGGAAUCUUGCACAAUGGGCGAAAGCCUGAUGCAGCAACGCCGCGUGAGGGACGAAGGCUUUCUGAGUUGUAAACCUCUUUCAGCAGGGACGAUUGUGACGGUACCUGCAGAAGAGCCCGGCAACUACGUGCCAGCAGCCGCGGUAAU
This 486-nucleotide ribosomal RNA is filed under the name uncultured bacterium. RNAcentral describes it as "SSU rRNA". It matches the Rfam family "Bacterial small subunit ribosomal RNA", at positions 26 to 524 of the family's 1533-position model. The record is from RNAcentral.